GGGCUUGUAGCUCCAUGGUAAAGUGCUUGCCUUGCAAGCAUGAGGCCCUGGGUUCAAUCCUCAGCACCA
Molecule: transfer RNA, 69 nt
Filed under: Ictidomys tridecemlineatus (thirteen-lined ground squirrel)
Lineage: Eukaryota; Metazoa; Chordata; Mammalia; Rodentia; Sciuridae
Description: Spermophilus tridecemlineatus (thirteen-lined ground squirrel) tRNA
Rfam family: tRNA
About the family: Transfer RNA (tRNA) molecules are approximately 80 nucleotides in length.
Source: Rfam by way of RNAcentral